This 687-nucleotide long non-coding RNA is filed under the name Populus trichocarpa (black cottonwood). Its description in RNAcentral is "long non-coding RNA (PTRI_LNC003635)". Lineage: Eukaryota; Viridiplantae; Streptophyta; Magnoliopsida; Malpighiales; Salicaceae. The record is from RNAcentral.
AUCUGCCAAUGUGGAAACUUUAAAGCAGCUAUUGUGCUAGAUGGUUUGAACUCCAACUUUAUAUCCUUACCAAACAUACAUAAUUAUAGCCAUGCAUGACAAGCUAGAUUAAGCCUCAAACAGCCAAGCUUCUUUACACAAGCAGUCACUUUAGUUUGUCUUUGGUUCUCAUUCAAAGCCACAAGGAUAAGUUCUAGCAUAUAUGCAGGUACGCAGCUUCUGCCAGAAAACAUAAUGUAGGGCUUUGAUUUCUGCCAGAAAACAUAAUGUAGCAUCAAUGAUAAGAAAUGAUAUUCAGAAACUAACCUGCACACAACAAUAUGAAAUGAUAUUCGAAAACUACCGAAGCUUUGUUAACAACUCAUGCAAAAGAAGAAAAUGAAGGAGAGGGAGAGAGAGACUUCACUAAGAUCCAAUAAAACUCAAUUAAUUAGCCCAUAAUGCUAACAUUAACUACAAGAUUAAUUCGAAAGAAAAACUACAUCCCAAGGAUAAAAAUCCUAAACAAAAAGAAGAAGACGAAGAUGAAGAAACUAGAAAAGGAAAGCUUAAACUAAAGAAGGAGAGGGAGGGAGGGAGAACAUCGAAAAUCCUUAUGCCUGGUCUCGUCCUGCAUGCCACAAGGAUAAUUGUCAUUGCAAGCUUAAACUCUCUCCAUGCCUUGCAUCUUUCUGCAAUUGUUCAAUU